Molecule: long non-coding RNA, 304 nt
Filed under: Phoenix dactylifera (date palm)
Lineage: Eukaryota; Viridiplantae; Streptophyta; Magnoliopsida; Arecales; Arecaceae
Description: long non-coding RNA (PDAC_LNC011433)
Source: RNAcentral
UAUGUUGAUUGUGUUAAGCUGAUUAAAUCUAAAGCAUUAUCAUGAAGUAUGUUUUAAAUAUAUAUGUUUUCUACUUCAUGCAACUUAGCUAUGCACUACUUCUAGAACACAAUAUAUUUUAUAUUGCAUAUACUCCAAGUUCUGUCAUCAUCAAAAAGGGGGAGACUGAUGACCCAAAGAUUGAUUUAAAGAUUGAUUUUGAUGAUCACAAAACCUUGAAGUAUAAAUGAUGACCCAAAGAUUGAUUUAAAGAUUGAUUUUGAUGAUCACAAAACCUUGAAGUAUAAAUACUAAUGUUUGUGUU